AUGAACGCUAGCUACAGGCUUAACACAUGCAAGUCGAGGGGCAGCAUGGUCUUAGCUUGCUAAGACUGAUGGCGACCGGCGCACGGGUGAGUAACACGUAUCCAACCUGCCGUCUACUCUUGGACAGCCUUCUGAAAGGAAGAUUAAUACAAGAUGGCAUCAUGAGUCCACAUGUUCACAUGAUUAAAGGUAUUCCGGUAGACGAUGGGGAUGCGUUCCAUUAGAUAGUAGGCGGGGUAACGGCCCACCUAGUCUUCGAUGGAUAGGGGUUCUGAGAGGAAGGUCCCCCACAUUGGAACUGAGACACGGUCCAAACUCCUACGGGAGGCAGCAGUGAGGAAUAUUGGUCAAUGGGCGAGAGCCUGAACCAGCCAAGUAGCGUGAAGGAUGACUGCCCUAUGGGUUGUAAACUUCUUUUAUAAAGGAAUAAAGUCGGGUAUGCAUACCCGUUUGCAUGUACUUUAUGAAUAAGGAUCGGCUAACUCCGUGCCAGCAGCCGCGGUAAUACGGAGGAUCCGAGCGUUAUCCGGAUUUAUUGGGUUUAAAGGGAGCGUAGAUGGAUGUUUAAGUCAGUUGUGAAAGUUUGCGGCUCAACCGUAAAAUUGCAGUUGAUACUGGAUAUCUUGAGUGCAGUUGAGGCAGGCGGAAUUCGUGGUGUAGCGGUGAAAUGCUUAGAUAUCACGAAGAACUCCGAUUGCGAAGGCAGCCUGCUAAGCUGCAACUGACAUUGAGGCUCGAAAGUGUGGGUAUCAAACAGGAUUAGAUACCCUGGUAGUCCACACGGUAAACGAUGAAUACUCGCUGUUUGCGAUAUACAGCAAGCGGCCAAGCGAAAGCGUUAAGUAUUCCACCUGGGGAGUACGCCGGCAACGGUGAAACUCAAAGGAAUUGACGGGGGCCCGCACAAGCGGAGGAACAUGUGGUUUAAUUCGAUGAUACGCGAGGAACCUUACCCGGGCUUAAAUUGCAGAUGAAUUACGGUGAAAGCCGUAAGCCGCAAGGCAUCUGUGAAGGUGCUGCAUGGUUGUCGUCAGCUCGUGCCGUGAGGUGUCGGCUUAAGUGCCAUAACGAGCGCAACCCUUGUUGUCAGUUACUAACAGGUCCUGCUGAGGACUCUGACAAGACUGCCAUCGUAAGAUGUGAGGAAGGUGGGGAUGACGUCAAAUCAGCACGGCCCUUACGUCCGGGGCUACACACGUGUUACAAUGGGGGGUACAGAGGGCCGCUACCACGCGAGUGGAUGCCAAUCCCCAAAACCUCUCUCAGUUCGGACUGGAGUCUGCAACCCGACUCCACGAAGCUGGAUUCGCUAGUAAUCGCGCAUCAGCCACGGCGCGGUGAAUACGUUCCCGGGCCUUGUACACACCGCCCGUCAAGCCAUGGGAGCCGGGGGUACCUGAAGUGCGUAACCGCGAGGAGCGCCCUAGGGUAAAAC
RNAcentral lists this ribosomal RNA (1435 nucleotides) under uncultured organism. Its description in RNAcentral is "16S ribosomal RNA". It matches the Rfam family "Bacterial small subunit ribosomal RNA". The record is from RNAcentral.